Non-coding RNA from Rattus norvegicus (Norway rat), 1053 nucleotides. The record is from RefSeq and is a predicted model, not a curated record. NCBI's taxonomy places the organism in Eukaryota, Metazoa, Chordata, Mammalia, Rodentia, Muridae.
CUGGUCUGUUCAGCUAGUGUCGUCUCAGGGAAUGUCUGCUGGUCUUAUGGCUGGGAUGAAGGAUGAGAUUAAGAGAGAAUCUCUUGUGUACUGUGUGAAAGCAUCACCCAUCAAGGAAAGCUGAUGGCCUAUUACCAAAAGGCAGGAAAUAGCAGGUGGGCGAUCUGGCAGAGCGAGAGGAACUCUGGGAGAUAAUCAGGAAUGGACGAUUCGCCACCCGGACUCGAAGGAGAUGGAUGUAUAAAACUGAAGAGAGGUAACCAGCCGUGUGGCACACAUAGAAUAGAAUAAACGGGUUAUAUAAAUUCCAAGCUAGCCAGGGAGCAAGCCCAAGCUUAUGGACUCAUUUGCUCAUAAAUGAUUUAGUCUCGGAGUCCUUAUUGGGGAACUGGGACACAGGUAGAAAAGACCGUAAAGACUAUAAAUUUAAUUUCUGUUUGGCGUGUGAUAAAUCCAUUAGAUUGUAACUCUAUUGUAAGUCAAGGAACAUUGGAACUGAAGAACUAAUUGCCAACUUCCAGACUGUAUGAAAAGCAUCAGUGAACACUAAGGAAGCUCAACUGUCUUAACUGAGUUAAACCCAAAGAGAUCUGCACCUGGACGUCCUGGCCAGAGUCUGGAGGCACAGAAAUCCACGGCAGAGCAGAGAUGUAUCAAGUACAAGGGCUCUUCAAUAGGAUUAACGAUUGACCAUGUACUAGAAACUGUAGAAGUCAGAAGGCUGUGGAAUGAUAGAUGCACAGCGUUUAAAAAAAUGUGUUGUUGGGGUUGGAGAGAUGGCUCAGAGGUUAAGAGCACUGACUGCUCUUCCAGAGGUCCUGAGUUCAAUUCCCAGCAACCACACGGUGGCUCACAACCAUCUGUAAUGGGAUCUGAUGCCCUCUUCUAGUGUGUGUGAAGAAAGUGACAGUGUGCUCAUAUAAAUAAAAUAAAUAAAAACAUAUUUAAAAAAUAUGUUGUUAAUCAAGAAUUCUUAGCUGGAGCUGGGCAUGGGGACACACACCUUUAAUUCCAACUGGGGGAAGUCGAGGCAGGCAGAGCUCUGAGCUGGAG